Non-coding RNA from Colletotrichum navitas, 68 nucleotides. NCBI's taxonomy places the organism in Eukaryota, Fungi, Ascomycota, Sordariomycetes, Glomerellales, Glomerellaceae. The record is from the annotation of a RefSeq genome assembly.
GCCCCUUUGGCUGUCGCACUCGUAGUCUCGUCAUGCGAAGGUUCACGGUUCAAUCCCGUGAGGGGGCA